GACACGGGGAGGUAGUGACA
This 20-nucleotide non-coding RNA is filed under the name Arabidopsis thaliana (thale cress). Lineage: Eukaryota; Viridiplantae; Streptophyta; Magnoliopsida; Brassicales; Brassicaceae. The record is from RNAcentral.